AAAACCCAGCAGUUUCACAAGGAGAGAGAACAGCCACCCAGAUUUGCACAGGAUGGAGCGGACUAGAACAUUCAGGAAGCUCCUGCGAAGCUGGAGAUGGAGGUGGAGGCAGCACACCAAGACAUGAUGCUAGGAUAGCCGGAAGGAUUCAAGGGAACCUUCCCUGAUGCAAGAUAACAAGAGAUACGGAUGGGCCAAAUGGCCAUGGGAGGUGCUGUGCACAUAAACAAUAGGAGUGCCGGGACCACUGCUCCUGUGUCACCUGGUACUCUGGCCCCUCCAGGACCUGACACUAUGAUGGCAGAUGGAACCCUGGGAUUGACCCCACUACCAACUGAACGAUUUGGCCAUGCUGCUACAGCCGAAGGAAUUGGUGGAACUCCUGCAUUCAACGGUCCAGGUCUAGGAGCUGAAUUUGCUCCAAAUAAA
This 429-nucleotide long non-coding RNA is filed under the name Mus musculus (house mouse). RNAcentral describes it as "long non-coding RNA chr13:30181715-30182144". Lineage: Eukaryota; Metazoa; Chordata; Mammalia; Rodentia; Muridae. The record is from RNAcentral.